CAAAAUGUGAUCGAAAUCGAAAUUCGUAUUUUGACAGCUAGUAUCUAAAAUAUUCUGAAUAUUUUUUUUACAUUUUUAUUCUGUGCGUGUUCUCAUGAUGGAAUCUAAUAUAACUCGAGUAAACCGUCUGGAAUUUACAUACAAGUUAUUUUGCUUUAUUAACCAGCAUUUGGUCUUAAUAAGAGCAAAGUUUCCAAUGGAUGAUGACAGACUGGAGUUUUGUGCAGAAUAUUAUACCUAUAAGUUCCUUGAUAUGGAGGUAACUCAUUGCAAUGAAUUUGGAUUUAAACUCUUAUUCGACGAUUUAACCAAAGAAAAAGUUAGAGAAUUUAUAAUGACCACCAUUGAGGAUAUGACUGCUGAAGAGAUUGACACAACCAAUUAUUUCACUUCGAAGGAAAUGUAGAAGCGUUGAAGAUUCUGGCAUACCACUUGGUGUAGCGGAAUUAGUGUUUAAAUAUUAACAGCAACAGCUGUUGUCGAUAACUUUUUUGCAUGUGCAAAUUUACACACACGUGUGUAAUCUCAAUUAAUAAUGCCUUUCGCUGUACUUAUCAUUUGUUAAAUUACUAAUAAUA
Molecule: long non-coding RNA, 578 nt
Organism: Drosophila busckii
Lineage: Eukaryota; Metazoa; Arthropoda; Insecta; Diptera; Drosophilidae
Exons: 3
Source: RefSeq, a predicted model, not a curated record